UACGUAGGGCGCAAGCGUUGUCCGGAAUUAUUGGGCGUAAAGAGCUCGUAGGCGGUUUGUCACGUCGGAUGUGAAAGCCCGGGGCUUAACCCCGGGUCUGCAUUCGAUACGGGCAGACUGGAGUGUGGUAGGGGAGAUCGGAAUUCCUGGUGUAGCGGUGAAAUGCGCAGAUAUCAGGAGGAACACCGGUGGCGAAGGCGGAUCUCUGGGCCAUUACUGACGCUGAGGAGCGAAAGCGUGGGGAGCGAACAGG
Molecule: ribosomal RNA, 253 nt
Filed under: uncultured bacterium
Lineage: Bacteria
Description: partial 16S ribosomal RNA
Rfam family: Bacterial small subunit ribosomal RNA
Source: RNAcentral